CAGAGUUUGAUCAUGGCUCAGAGCGAACGCUGGCGGCAGGCUUAACACAUGCAAGUCGAGCGGGCGUAGCAAUACGUCAGCGGCAGACGGGUGAGUAACGCGUGGGAACGUACCUUUUGGUUCGGAACAACACAGGGAAACUUGUGCUAAUACCGGAUAAGCCCUUACGGGGAAAGAUUUAUCGCCGAAAGAUCGGCCCGCGUCUGAUUAGCUAGUUGGUGAGGUAAUGGCUCACCAAGGCGACGAUCAGUAGCUGGUCUGAGAGGAUGAUCAGCCACAUUGGGACUGAGACACGGCCCAAACUCCUACGGGAGGCAGCAGUGGGGAAUAUUGGACAAUGGGCGCAAGCCUGAUCCAGCCAUGCCGCGUGAGUGAUGAAGGCCCUAGGGUUGUAAAGCUCUUUCAACGGUGAAGAUAAUGACGGUAACCGUAGAAGAAGCCCCGGCUAACUUCGUGCCAGCAGCCGCGGUAAUA
This 474-nucleotide ribosomal RNA is filed under the name uncultured bacterium. RNAcentral describes it as "bacterial SSU rRNA". It matches the Rfam family "Bacterial small subunit ribosomal RNA", at positions 8 to 525 of the family's 1533-position model. The record is from RNAcentral.